Molecule: non-coding RNA, 1529 nt
Organism: Momordica charantia (bitter melon)
Lineage: Eukaryota; Viridiplantae; Streptophyta; Magnoliopsida; Cucurbitales; Cucurbitaceae
Source: RefSeq, a predicted model, not a curated record
AACACUGUCGUCGUCGCACUACUCCCAAAUUUGAAGGUUGUCGUUGCCGCACUGCUCCCAGAUUCCAACGCUGCCAUGGCCACACUGUUCACCCACUCCUCGAGCUCACACGUCGCCACCUUCGUUUGGUUUCAGAUGCACCCACUCAUGUUCAUUCUCUUCGUUUCCUGUUCCAAAACCUUGAAAAAAAAUCAAUUGAAUGUAGUCAAAUGAAGGAGAAAUUUGUCUAAAAUUUUAAAAAAUAAGAAAUGAAGAAAAUAAACAUGAAAAUAGUCGAUUUAUAUUUGAAAAAAGAAAAGAAAAUGGUUCUGAUUUUCACCCUCCUAUUCAGGAAGCCAUACUAUAUUCAUGGUGAGAAAGUGAUAUCUCUAUUGGUUAUACUGAAAUGUUUAAUUCUGCCAUUACACUCUAUUUGGAGUUUCUUCAAAUUGCAGUUAGACAUAGUAAGAAAUGAAGGUUUCUCUGUAUAGCAGGUUAGGUGGAUUUCUUCUGUCCCAUUGAAGUCAUAUGACACUCUUGGUUUGGCAAGCAUUGUAUUUCGCAGCAAUCGUAGAAACCUAGGUUUUAGUUAAAGUUCAAACCCUUAAGUUGGUGUUAGUAAAGUCCAAUGAGGAGGCUAAUCUCUAUUUUCUCUUCCAUUUUUUGUUUCUGAGAGUUUAAUUUUUUUGGUAUUGUGUGUUACUAGGUUUGGUGAAUUCCAACUUAAGUUUAUGCCAUUUUUAUGAUAUUUGAUUGGUUGAUGACGUUUUUCUAUUCUUGUGUGCAGGAGCUAUUUGGUGGUCAACCAUGGGAGUCACACCAAAGUUUUUUGUCACGGAUGGUGGUGUGUCAAUUCUGAUGGCUCUUUUUGAGUUGUUCUAUUUGAUUUACUGAAGGUAGAACUUAUGCUCUCAGCUUGAAUGCCUGUCUAAGUGAACUUCUUAUAAAUUAGUUUGUGGAUACUUCAAGUUACAUGUGCCCUGAGAGCUUCUUGCUGACAUACUAGUUCAAAGUCAAAUAUAUGGUCCUGGAUGUUGAAUAUAUGAAAGGACUGUCCACAAGCCAGCAUUUAAAAUCUUGGCAAGUUGCUUAUCAUAAGGUUAUUCAAGUUCAAGGGCAAAGCGGCCAUGGGAGAGUCAAAGCAAUUGGUUCUUGAUGCAUGGAGAACCUCAUCUCAUAACUGAACUUGUCAAAUAUUUUCAAUGGUUAUCUUGGAAAAGGUAAACGUUGGCUGCUGCAAAAGUGGGCUUUUCAACUAGGUGACACCCCUACACAGAAGAAACAAGCAGAUUUGUUAUCUUCUUGUAAUCUGAUUCCAAUUCUUCUACGAUCGAUUCACCUAGGAUUCGGUUCAAUUCUUAGUAAAAUAGAUUUUUAGCUCUUCUGGCUUAGCUACCUCUUGUAUAUUUCAAUGAAAUAUUUCUGUAUGAAAAGGUAUUGUGCAUAAUUUACCUUCUUUUGGAUUCUUUUUUCGUAUACGUUUUGAAAAUUCAAGGAAAAAUUAGUAUCCCAUAACCAUCAACUUUUGAAAGUAAAGUAAGCAUUUUGUA